This 412-nucleotide telomerase RNA is filed under the name Bufo japonicus (Japanese toad). Its description in RNAcentral is "Vertebrate telomerase RNA". It matches the Rfam family "Vertebrate telomerase RNA". From Rfam's summary of the family: Telomerase is a ribonucleoprotein reverse transcriptase that synthesises telomeric DNA. Lineage: Eukaryota; Metazoa; Chordata; Amphibia; Anura; Bufonidae. The record is from Rfam by way of RNAcentral.
UUAAUUAGAGGGAUUGGAAGGUUCCGCUUAUGCUAACCCUAAUAUUGGGGGUCUGUUGAAAACCUCUUUAAGAUAUGCGUGUUGUUUUAUUGGCUGACUUUCAGCGCGCAUUGAGAGGAGUUGCUGCCCAGGACUAAAAAAUGUCAGCUGGGAGUCCUUCCUCUCCCUUAUUUCUGCCUCACAACCUGGACUCUUUAUUUAGCGGUGCCCCAUUUGUCGAGGCCGCAGUCAGUCUUGUUCUUAUACGCUGCUGUUGCGAAGAGUUCGUCUCUGUCAGCCUCCGGGGCAACGCCUUGAAUUUGGAGAGCCUGGGAAUGUAACAAGGGGUAGGGAAAAUAACGAGAGCUGAGUUGGCUUCUCCUGUGCUGUUCCUGAGCUGUGGAACUUGCAAUCGCAGUCGGCUCUGACACUU